RNAcentral lists this ribosomal RNA (497 nucleotides) under uncultured bacterium. RNAcentral describes it as "partial 16S ribosomal RNA". It matches the Rfam family "Bacterial small subunit ribosomal RNA", at positions 28 to 507 of the family's 1533-position model. The record is from RNAcentral.
GAUGAACGCUGGCGGCGUGCCUAAUACAUGCAAGUCGAGCGAACAGAUGAGGAGCUUGCUCCGCUGACGUUAGCGGCGGACGGGUGAGUAACACGUGUAUAACCUACCUAUAAUACUGGGAUAACUUCGGGAAACCGGAUCUAACCCCGGAGAAUAUAUUGAACCGUAGUGUUCAAUAGUGAAAUUCGGCUGUGCGGGCACUUAUAGAGGGUUCCGCGCCGCAUUAGCUAGUUGUUAAGUUAACGGCUUACCAAGGCAACUAUGCGUAGCCGACCUGGGAGGGGGGUAGGCCACACUGGAGGUGAGACAGGGACCAGACUCCUACGGGAGGCAGCAGUAGGGUAUGUUACGCAAUGGGCGAAAGCAUGACGGAGCAACGCCGCGUGAGUGAUGAAGGUCUUCGGAUCGUAAAACUCUGUUAUUAGGGAAGAACAAAUGUGUAAGUAACUAUGCACGUCUUGACGGUACCUAAUCAGAAAGCAACGGCUAACUACGUG